Ahaetulla prasina is the source of this 607-nucleotide long non-coding RNA. RefSeq lists it as uncharacterized. The transcript has 3 exons. NCBI's taxonomy places the organism in Eukaryota, Metazoa, Chordata, Lepidosauria, Squamata, Colubridae. The record is from RefSeq and is a predicted model, not a curated record.
AGGACCUCAGGAUGGAACAGGGGUGGGGGAAAGUGCUAGCUAGCGUUGGUCAAGAAACUACAGUUGCAUUGGUCUCCCUUAAAAUGAAGGAUUCUCUCCAUGCAAGAGUCUGGAAAUUCCUUCCAUAAGACAAAGAAUUAACCGAUCAUGAUCUUAAGUAUUGAAAUUGAUGUCUGAGAACCAGAUGUAUUCCACUCCAGCUAGCCGAUUGUUUUGAGCCACCCUGUGACUAUACCUAAACAGCUUCUUUUUCAAACUUCUAAAUAUCUUCGUUCAUCCAUGCCAAUAUCAACACCUCAGGUUACUGGAUUUGCUGUUUUGUAUAGUGACAUUGCAUUCAUUAUUUCAUUCCAUAUCAUAAUACAGCAUAGCGAAAAGGAAUAAGACCAGAACAAAAGAAUAGAGUGAAAACAGCACUGUGGCGAAAUUACUGAAAAGCAUAGCAAAGUGUCUUGGUAUGAAGAAUGCUGUCAGCCCUUCCAGUGGUCCUCCAUGAUGUUAUUCACCCUAAUAAAGAACAGGUAUAUCAUGGGAAAUUUCUUUGUUUCUUCUUUUAUUUUUCAUAAAGGAAUAUGUGACAAGAGGCAAUAAAGGAUAUAAGAUUUCA